This 253-nucleotide ribosomal RNA is filed under the name uncultured bacterium. RNAcentral's name for it is "partial 16S ribosomal RNA". It matches the Rfam family "Bacterial small subunit ribosomal RNA", at positions 524 to 776 of the family's 1533-position model. The record is from RNAcentral.
UACGUAGGGUCCGAGCGUUGUCCGGAAUUACUGGGCGUAAAGAGCUCGUAGGUGGUUUGUCGCGUUGUUCGUGAAAACUCACAGCUCAACUGUGGGCGUGCGGGCGAUACGGGCAGACUAGAGUACUGCAGGGGAGACUGGAAUUCCUGGUGUAGCGGUGGAAUGCGCGGAUAUCAGGAGGAACACCGGUGGCGAAGGCGGGUCUCUGGGCAGUAACUGACGCUGAGGAGCGAAAGCGUGGGGAGCGAACAGG